AUAAUUGUGACUGGAGUUAGCAUGGUCACGAAGGUGAUUUUCCCCCUAAGGUGAGGUGUAUCCAUAGCACUCCAGAUGUACCGAGCCCGGUGAUUUCUGCAAAUGCAAAAACAACUCCGCUGCAUAAUUUGUUAUUGGGGAUUGCAUCUGCACUUCCCCC
This 160-nucleotide small nuclear RNA is filed under the name Meriones unguiculatus (Mongolian gerbil). Its description in RNAcentral is "U1 spliceosomal RNA (ENSMUGG00000003969.1)". It matches the Rfam family "U1 spliceosomal RNA". From Rfam's summary of the family: U1 is a small nuclear RNA (snRNA) component of the spliceosome (involved in pre-mRNA splicing). Lineage: Eukaryota; Metazoa; Chordata; Mammalia; Rodentia; Muridae. The record is from RNAcentral.